RNAcentral lists this ribosomal RNA (301 nucleotides) under uncultured bacterium. RNAcentral's name for it is "partial 16S ribosomal RNA". It matches the Rfam family "Bacterial small subunit ribosomal RNA", at positions 509 to 809 of the family's 1533-position model. The record is from RNAcentral.
CAGUCGCCGCGGUAAUACCGAGGGUGCGAGCGUUAAUCGGAUUUACUGGGCGUAAAGCGUGCGUAGGCGGCUUUUUAAGUCGGAUGUGAAAUCCCUGAGCUUAACUUAGGAAUUGCAUUCGAUACUGGGAAGCUAGAGUAUGGGAGAGGAUGGUAGAAUUCCAGGUGUAGCGGUGAAAUGCGUAGAGAUCUGGAGGAAUACCGAUGGCGAAGGCAGCCAUCUGGCCUAAUACUGACGCUGAGGUACGAAAGCAUGGGGAGCAAACAGGAUUAGAUACCCGCGUAGUCCCUGUCUCUUAUAA